This 253-nucleotide ribosomal RNA is filed under the name uncultured bacterium. RNAcentral's name for it is "partial 16S ribosomal RNA". It matches the Rfam family "Bacterial small subunit ribosomal RNA", at positions 524 to 776 of the family's 1533-position model. The record is from RNAcentral.
UACGAAGGGUGCAAGCGUUACUCGGAAUUACUGGGCGUAAAGCGUGCGUAGGCGGUUCGUUAAGUCUGAUGUGAAAGCCCUGGGCUCAACCUGGGAAUGGCAUUGGAUACUGGCGACCUAGAGUGCGGUAGAGGGGUGUGGAAUUCCCGGUGUAGCAGUGAAAUGCGUAGAUAUCGGGAGGAACAUCUGUGGCGAAGGCGAAUCUCUGGACAGUUACUGACACUGAGGCACGAAGGCCAGGGGAGCAAACGGG